This 501-nucleotide ribosomal RNA is filed under the name uncultured bacterium. Its description in RNAcentral is "partial 16S ribosomal RNA". It matches the Rfam family "Bacterial small subunit ribosomal RNA", at positions 30 to 523 of the family's 1533-position model. The record is from RNAcentral.
AUUGAACGCUGGCGGCAUGCCUUACACAUGCAAGUCGAACGGCAGCACGGGUGCUUGCACCUGGUGGCGAGUGGCGAACGGGUGAGUAAUAUAUCGGAACGUACCUUAUUGUGGGGGAUAACGCAGCGAAAGCUGUGCUAAUACCGCAUAAUCCCUAAGGGGGAAAGCGGGGGACCGUAAGGCCUCGCGCAAUUAGAGCGGCCGAUACCUGAUUAGCUAGUUGGUGAGGUAAAGGCUCACCAAGGCAACGAUCAGUAGCUGGUCUGAGAGGACGAUCAGCCACACUGGGACUGAGACACGGCCCAGACUCCUACGGGAGGCAGCAGUGGGGAAUUUUGGACAAUGAGGGCAACCCUGAUCCAGCAAUGCCGCGUGAGUGAAGAAGGCCUUCGGGUUGUAAAGCUCUUUUGUCAGGGAAGAAACAGCAGCUCUAACACAGUUUGCGAAUGACGGUACCUGAAGAAUAAGCACCGGCCAACUACGUGCCAGCCGCCGCGGUAA